UGGGGAAUAUUGCACAAUGGGCGCAAGCCUGAUGCAGCAACGCCGCGUGAAGGAAGACGGUUUUCGGAUUGUAAACUUCUGUUCUUAGUGAAGAAGAAUGACGGUAGCUAAGGAGCAAGCCACGGCUAACUACGUGCCAGCAGCCGCGGUAAUACGUAGGUGGCAAGCGUUGUCCGGAAUUACUGGGUGUAAAGGGAGCGCAGGCGGGGGAAGCAAGUCAGUUGUGAAAUCCAUGGGCUUAACCCGUGAACUGCAGUUGAAACUGUUCUUCUUGAGUGAAGUAGAGGUUGGCGGAAGUUCCGAGUGUAGCGGUGAAAUGCGUAGAUAUUCGGAGGAACACCGGUGGCGAAGGCGGCCAACUGGGCUUUUACUGACGCUGAGGCUCGAAAGUGUGGGGAGCAAACAGGAUUAGAUACCC
RNAcentral lists this ribosomal RNA (418 nucleotides) under uncultured bacterium. RNAcentral describes it as "bacterial SSU rRNA". It matches the Rfam family "Bacterial small subunit ribosomal RNA", at positions 355 to 787 of the family's 1533-position model. The record is from RNAcentral.